GAACGCUGGCGGCAAUGCCUAACACAUGCAAGUCGAACGAGACCUUGGGUCUAGUGGCGCACGGGUGCGUAACACGUGGGAAUUUGCCUCGGGGUAUGGAAUAACUCAGGGAAACUUGAGCUAAUACCAUAUAAUGUCUUCGGACCAAAGAUUUAUCGCCCUGAGAUAAGCCCGCGUAGGAUUAGCUAGUUGGUGAGGUAGAGGCUCACCAAGGCGACGAUCCUUAGCUGGUCUGAGAGGAUGAUCAGCCACACUGGGACUGAGACACGGCCCAGACUCCUACGGGAGGCAGCAGUGGGGAAUAUUGGACAAUGGGCGAAAGCCUGAUCCAGCAAUGCCGCGUGAGUGAUGAAGGCCUUCGGGUUGUAAAGCUCUUUUACUCGGGACGAUAAUGACGGUACCGAGAGAAUAAGCCCCGGCUAACUCCGUG
RNAcentral lists this ribosomal RNA (430 nucleotides) under uncultured bacterium. RNAcentral's name for it is "bacterial SSU rRNA". It matches the Rfam family "Bacterial small subunit ribosomal RNA", at positions 31 to 507 of the family's 1533-position model. The record is from RNAcentral.